AUAGAUUUUGUAUCUAUUAAUAUAAGAUGAACCUCCUCAAAUCGAGUCAAUAUUUUUUUAUAAUCUUGUAUAUGAUUAGCAAUACACUUGUGACACCUCUUCUAAUCUAAAGUUUCAUGCUUAACUUCUUUGUAUCCUUUAAUAGAAAUAUCAUCUAAAAAAGGUAUAGUCUUCUCAAGAAUAAGAUCCCUUGGUACUUUGUUUAUCUCAUUCAACAUAUGCGCAAUUGAAUUAGUUGUGC
RNAcentral lists this long non-coding RNA (241 nucleotides) under Physcomitrium patens. RNAcentral describes it as "long non-coding RNA (PPAT_LNC002040)". The record is from RNAcentral. Lineage: Eukaryota; Viridiplantae; Streptophyta; Bryopsida; Funariales; Funariaceae.